Molecule: ribosomal RNA, 497 nt
Filed under: uncultured bacterium
Lineage: Bacteria
Description: partial 16S ribosomal RNA
Rfam family: Bacterial small subunit ribosomal RNA
Source: RNAcentral
GAUGAACGCUGGCGGCGUGCCUAAUACAUGCAAGUCGAGCGAACAGAUGAGGAGCUUGCUCCUCUGACGUUAGCGGCGGACGGGUGAGUAACACGUGGAUAACCUACCUAUAAGACUGGGAUAACUUCGGGAAACCGGAGCUAAUACCGGAUAAUAUAUUGAACCGCAUGGUUCAAUAGUGAAAGACGGUUUUGCUGUCACUUAUAGAUGGAUCCGCGCCGCAUUAGCUAGUUGGUAAGGUAACGGCUUACCAAGGCAACGAUGCGUAGCCGACCUGAGAGGGUGAUCGGCCACACUGGAACUGAGACACGGUCCAGACUCCUACGGGAGGCAGCAAUAGGGAAUCUUCCGCAAUGGGCGAAAGCCCGACGGAGCAACGCCGCGUGAGUGAUGAAGGUCUUCGGAUCGUAAAACUCUGUUAUUAGGGAAGAACAAAUGUGUAAGUAACUAUGCACGUCUUGACGGUACCUAACCAGAAAGCCACGGCUAACUACGUG